Long non-coding RNA from Grus americana (Whooping crane), 832 nucleotides. RefSeq lists it as uncharacterized. The record is from RefSeq and is a predicted model, not a curated record. The transcript has 3 exons. NCBI's taxonomy places the organism in Eukaryota, Metazoa, Chordata, Aves, Gruiformes, Gruidae.
UCUCCCCCAAGUACCAGUUCUCAUCCAGCUGUCGGAGCAGCACGAUGAUGUCCCCCUUGUUGAACCUCAGCUCCCCGGGGUUGUGUCCUCGGGAUUUCUAUCAGAGAAGGACCAGAGGUCGCAGCCAUCGUCCAGCUAACCCGGUGGCCUUCACCUGCAGCGGCCAACUGUGCGUGUUGAGGAGAACGCAGCGAGAGCAAGUAUAAUGGAGAAAGAAGAGAUAUACCGAAACCAGAAGAGACGAGGGAACUUUACCAUAUUGACUCUCAUCAAAAUGAAACUACAAAGUUCACAUAAAAUAACCGCUUUACUGACCCUUAUCUAUACUAGAAAACUCAAUGUAAUACGCAAUACAACAGAUCAUUUAGACGGCUGAAUACACCCGGAGCCGUCCCUGGCCUGGGUGCUGUGAACCCACGCGGUACAACUUGAGGGCAGCCCGAGGGGUGUUUUUCCUGGGAGGAGUGCAGGUGCACCGGCGCUUUCUGCGCUCUGUGUAGGUUCUAGGUGUGCGUUUGGGGGGUCCCGUACCCCGGAAAUCAGCAGUACCGACCGGCUCGAUCUUUGUGUUAAAGACAAGAUGGAGAUACCUUCAGCACGUUUGUUGGACUAGAGUACUGCGUGUGCGUCCUAGAACGGAUAGGCAACCUGUGCUUGUUUAUUUUAUUGCCAUUUGCAACAUCGCGGUUGGGUAUGAAAUGCAAAUCACUGAGUGUUAAGCUCAGUCCUUCUGCUGGCCCUUCAGCUGGGAACAAGUGCUGUUCCUUUAACUUCUGCUCAGCCCUGACACGGUCAGGCAGUUGAACCAAUGGUCAUUGUAGGUCCAUUCCAA